GCCGGGCGUGGUGGCUCACGCCUGUAAUCCCAGCACUUUGGGAGGCUGAGGCAGGUGAAUCACUUGAGGUCAGGAGUUCGAGACCAGCCUGGCCAACAUGGUGAAACCCCGUCUCUA
This 117-nucleotide non-coding RNA is filed under the name Nomascus leucogenys (northern white-cheeked gibbon). Lineage: Eukaryota; Metazoa; Chordata; Mammalia; Primates; Hylobatidae. The record is from Rfam by way of RNAcentral.